Molecule: long non-coding RNA, 256 nt
Organism: Coccinella septempunctata (seven-spotted ladybird)
Lineage: Eukaryota; Metazoa; Arthropoda; Insecta; Coleoptera; Coccinellidae
Exons: 3
Source: RefSeq, a predicted model, not a curated record
AAUUAUAUUGAUAGAUAAAAUGGAUAGAUAACUUGAUAUAAAUAGGAAACAGAAGGUUGACGAGUACUAACUCAACAAUAUGAAUUUCAACGGCUUCUUUGUAUACUUUUGUGUGGUUAUGACUGUUUUGGUCCUCUUCGCCGGUCAGUCUGAAGCUAUUUAUCCAGGAUACCACAAGACAGAUGAGUGAAUCAAACAAACACAAGAAACCGUAAUUUUUGCAUCGAUCUGCAAUGAAAUAAAAAAUUCUGCAAUA